AACGCUGCUCCUUUCUGUUGUGUUCGUCACACUUCUUUCUGGAAUGCCUCUGGGUAUUACCUGCAGUUUCCUUUGUUACAACUCAGGACUAUCUGGGUGAGCAGAAAACAGUGUCCUGUGAAAUGAUUAGUUGAAUUUAUCAGUCUUAAGUUCUCGUUUCUUUUUUACUUGGGAUCAGAACGUUCUUCCUGUCGGCAUGCAGAGCUCCUGGGAAGAAACGUUUUACAGUCAGCACUUCUUGGAGAAUAAGGACAAGUAACAGGAUUUUUACUGCUGUUACUCUGGUCACAGCAAUGAGAAUGAAGCGCUAUCACA
Molecule: long non-coding RNA, 315 nt
Filed under: Chrysemys picta bellii (western painted turtle)
Lineage: Eukaryota; Metazoa; Chordata; Testudines; Emydidae
Description: lncRNA (ENSCPBG00000016247.1)
Source: RNAcentral